GAUGAACGCUGGCGGCGUGCCUAAUACAUGCAAGUCGAGCGAACAGACGAGGAGCUUGCUCCUCUGACGUUAGCGGCGGACGGGUGAGUAACACGUGGAUAACCUACCUAUAAGACUGGGAUAACUUCGGGAAACCGGAGCUAAUACCGGAUAAUAUAUUGAACCGCAUGGUUCAAUAGUGAAAGACGGUUUUGCUGUCACUUAUAGAUGGAUCCGCGCCGCAUUAGCUAGUUGGUAAGGUAACGGCUUACCAAGGCAACGAUGCGUAGUCGACCUGAGAGGGUGAUCGGCCACACUGGAACUGAGACACGGUCCAGACUCCUACGGGAGGCAGCAGUAGGGAAUCUUCCGCAAUGGGCGAAAGCUUGACGGAGCAACGCCGCGUGAGUGAUGAAGGUCUGCGGAUCGUAAAACUCUGUUAUUAGGGAAGAACAAAUGUGUAAGUAACGAUGCACGUCUUGACGGUACCUAAUCAGAAAGCCACGGCUAACUACGU
This 496-nucleotide ribosomal RNA is filed under the name uncultured bacterium. RNAcentral's name for it is "partial 16S ribosomal RNA". It matches the Rfam family "Bacterial small subunit ribosomal RNA", at positions 28 to 506 of the family's 1533-position model. The record is from RNAcentral.